AGUAACAUCCUUCCAUGGCCUCUGCAUCAGCUCCAGCUUCCUGACCUGCUACAUUCCAGUCCUGACUUCCUUUGGCGAUGAACAGCAACUGACAAACAGCAAUGCGACACUAUGGGAGACUCAUGAGGUGAGUCGUCGUAGUCCCCGAGACAGAAUAUCUGUAAUCAUUCCCGGAUUGAAUAUAUUUCUGAUGAUCAGAAUGGAGAUAAGAGAUUCACAACAAAGAAUGAAGGAGAACGAGACAGAAUGGGAUCUCGCGGAGGAGACUGAGUGCUGGCCGGGACUGCUGGUGUGGGGUUAGUUCCCAAAAGCAGUUUUUCCUUUAUUUUAGUCUUUCCUUUUCAAUUUCUGUCCAAGUAGCUCUUAGGGAACACCUCAGGACUUUUCAGUGACUAAUUUGACUUCAUCUGGGCCUCUUUCCCUUUCAUAAGUUCUCUCCAUAUUACAUAAAAGAUCUAAGUCUGGCCAUUUACAGAAACAAGGAAAGCUCUGACCUGAGUUACCCAAGCCCCUUCUGGGCCAAUUUAUAUGAAUAGGAUCUCUUCAUUCUGUUCGGCAAGAAUUUCAGGAAUCAAAAUGGCAAGGUUUUUGAAUAACUCUUGCUUCCAUCACUGCCCACAUCUGCACAGCGUGUGACAAAAACAAGCAACACUCAUUUAAUGUCUGUGACAGGAUAUAGGAUGAUAGGAGUCGCCGUCACUGCGUGUGGGUUAUUGUCCCGGCUUUGCUAAUGAAAUGUUUGCUAAUAGAGUGUACUUAGAAAAACUACAUCUCCGGCUCUUAAUUGAACUAGGUCAAGAUGACCAAAUACCUGUCCGCCUACGAGCCACGUUGGAAAGAAGUCUAGGUAGGCUUUCGGAAGAUGAUGGAUAACACACAGACAUGGCCUGAAGAAUCUCUGGGGAAUACGUUGAGUAAAGUUGGUUAAAGCCAUCAGGAGAGAGGUUGUUCGUUGACAGUUUCCCCGCAAAUACGGUGAGCCUUAGUCACUUUCACACCUGUUCCUCUCCCAUCCACCCUCCUCCGGUUGGACUCUUCUCCCUAACAGUCACACCUAGCUUCACGUCGCUUGUCGUGUAAGAUCCGCACAAUCUAAUCACAGUUACCUGCGCGAGCACUGGUGGGCAGUUAUUAGAGCAUCAGCUAUUGCUUGGUGAUAACAACAUCAAAGACAUCGCGGACACUCCUCCCCCCAGCAACUGUUAACUGACAAUAGUCCCUUGCCUGGCAACUGUUAACUGACAAUAGUCCCUAGCCUCACUCCUCUCCAUGCUGAAAUGCUCAAGGCCCAAGCCUGGCCAAGCUUGUGUAGCAAACCACGGGUGCAGCAAACUCAUGAGCACAAGGGCUGUGUCUCGAUCGGAAGAUAUCAUUUCACAGCACGCCUCCUUGUCUUCUAGCUCCUACGUUCUUUCUACCCCUUCUUCCACAGCGUUUCCUGAGCUGUGAUACAGAUGUCUUCUUUCAAGCUAAGAAUUCCACCAUCAAAGUUCUUGGAACUUUGACCAGUUAGGAGUCUCUGCACUAACCACUGCCCACAGCUACAAGAGGCAUUUCUGAGCAAGGCUGAAAGGCCUGGAAUCCAAUCAGAAAGUAACUUACUAUUCCGAUCACAAUCAUGCUACUGUGGCACCAGUGGGUACAUCUUGUCAGAUAGGUCAGUAUUACAGCUUGCAGGGUUCAAAGGUAAGACUAUGAGUGGCUCUUCUCCCCCAGUAGCCUGCAUAACACCUUCUAAAACUGUGAAAGGUAGCCAGCCAGGAGGAGGAGGCUUCCAGUUCAGUUCCGGAUGUCUCUGUGUUCUGAAUCUGAAGUGUGCAGCAACGGGGUCUUACCAUCAAAUUCUGGUGGGCAACCGAGAGCAGUGGUGUCAGCCUGUCAUGUUUUGGGAGCCUCUGGGCUUCCCUGAACCUCCCUGACGAACAACUGGUAAGAUGUUGGUAUUUUCAUUUAAUCCUGCCCACCCGCACAUGGUAACCUUGUUUAAAUUUUGUUCUAAAAUUUUAAAUAAAUGUAUGAAAUAAUAAGUUUCCAAGCUAGUUUUUCCCCCCAUCUACCCUUCCCUUCCAUCACCACCACCACCACCACACCCGUUUAGACCGCUCCAGCCCAGCCUCCCAGGUUCUUCUUUCAGAUCACAUUUGCAAUCGAGAUAUUAAAAAGAGAAACAAGAGGGAGGGGAAAGUCAUGCUCUAUAGUGACACAGACAGGAGAGAUACUGGGAAAAUUCUUGGCCAGAACUGUGGUGAGACACCACUUCAAAAAAACUCCAACUGAGUCCAGCCGGCAGCUUGAGAGCCCAGACCGGCCAUGAAGUUCAUUUUCCAGACACAGAAGCAAGCGCCCACCUAACUGUAUGCAAAAACCUGGUCGGCAGAAUGCCUUAGACUGUAGGGAGGGAAUCUUGGACAGAACCCCGUGCAGGAGCAGGGAGAUGGGAAUGGGGGACAAAGAUCCAGGUUCCAAGUGACCCAGUAAACACUGGAAAGGACUGUCCAGGACAUGUCUCAUGGAUGAGGCCAGCAUCUGUGAUCCAGCCUCACAAAGAACCAUUCAGGGGUGUAACAGGCAUUUGGGACCCCAGGAAGGAAGCCAAGACUAGAAGGGCCAGACUUCAUCCACACUCAAGCCACGCCCCCUUCACCUGGGUCUCUCCUUCCCUGAAUUCCCAGUAUCAAUGCAGGACACCAGCCAGCCAGCGCUGUCCUACUGUGAGCUCUCUCUUGUGCUCACUGUUAGUUUUGCUCUCCUCCUCCCUCCUU
RNAcentral lists this small RNA (2762 nucleotides) under Rattus norvegicus (Norway rat). RNAcentral's name for it is "uncharacterized LOC103692286". The record is from RNAcentral. Lineage: Eukaryota; Metazoa; Chordata; Mammalia; Rodentia; Muridae.